UGUGGCUCAGUGGUAGAGCGUUCACCUAGCAUGUGUGAGGCCCUGGGUUGAAUUCUCAGCA
This 61-nucleotide transfer RNA is filed under the name Ictidomys tridecemlineatus (thirteen-lined ground squirrel). Its description in RNAcentral is "Spermophilus tridecemlineatus (thirteen-lined ground squirrel) tRNA". It matches the Rfam family "tRNA", at positions 6 to 65 of the family's 71-position model. From Rfam's summary of the family: Transfer RNA (tRNA) molecules are approximately 80 nucleotides in length. Their secondary structure includes four short double-helical elements and three loops (D, anti-codon, and T loops). The record is from Rfam by way of RNAcentral. Lineage: Eukaryota; Metazoa; Chordata; Mammalia; Rodentia; Sciuridae.